AUUAACAAGACAUAUUUAAGACUAACUAAAUCAAGUUAUGUUGUAUGAACAUAGAUGAUAUAUUUUCAGGUUAGAUAGUUUAGAUUAGUUACUUCAACACAUUUCUUAUUUGUGGCAGUAAAAUGUUAAAUUUAAGUUAGAUUAAUUCAAAUAUUAUAUUUUCAGCCACCUUGUGCUUUAUUAAUUAGUUUUACAUAAAUCUAUUUUGUCAACAGGUUCCACACAAAUGAAUUAAGUACAUCCAACUUAUUUUUUAAAAUUUAUUUUAUUGCCAACACAUUCAGUGAGCAUUUGUGUAAACCCAGUCCAAAAUAAAACACAACAGCUCAUUAGGGUUAGUAAUUAACAGUAUGUAGACAGAUGCAACAUCAAGACUUUAAAUUAAAUGUCUGUAUCUACCAGAAAUAGAAGAGAAAAAAACGCAUUGAAGAUCACAUAACACAUUGAUAAGAUGACACUUGAGUUAUGCACAUGUGAUGCUAGUAAGGUCUGUGAGUGUUUUUUUCUUUUAGUGUCUAAAAUGGAUAGCAAAGUUGCUAUUUGCAAUGAUUGCUUAGGGUCAGUCCAGUAACACAAUGCCAAUGAAGUGCUUUCCUUUAACAAUGCAAAGUGAAGUGUCCACCUCAACAGCCACAAUUAAAAAAAAAAAAAAUGUAACAACAACAACAAUAAUAAUAAUAAUAAUAAUAAUAAUAAUAAUAAUAAUAAUAAAUAGUCCACUGAUAUUAGCAAUCAAAGAAAAUUACAUCACCAUCCCAAAUAAAACUUUAACAAAACAUGCCAACAUUAUGGUCUAACAAUAAAACAGCUUGUCAGCGUUCAGUUUUUUUGCAACAGCACAGCAGUAACCAUUUAACACUCGCCACUGUCAACAUUUAUUUUACCAGUGUUUGGGCAAAAAACUUCAGAUGGAAACAUUUUAACAUGGAAACAAUUGUUCGUCUUUAAAAGUCCACAAAAUAUACAUUCAUCCUGCAUUCCCAACUUGGAUGAUCUGAUAUCCUCGUGUUGGUGUUGUUCCCAGACCAUCAUGAAAAUGUUGUUCCAGGUUCAACAUUGCAAGUGACCAAUCACAUUGUUGUGACGUUAUUCUAUUCCAAGCCAUUCGUGCAUUUAUGAAAUUCCAAUGUUGCAAGGACAAUAUCAAUUCUGCUUACUGUUUAUUAAAGGGUUACGGUUAGGGUUAGGGUCAGUUGAUCGGCGGACAGAGGCGGUUUCACGCAGCUUAAGUACAGUUUUUUGUUUUACGCCGGUUUUUCC
This is a long non-coding RNA of Astatotilapia calliptera (eastern happy), 1260 nucleotides long. The record is from Ensembl. NCBI's taxonomy places the organism in Eukaryota, Metazoa, Chordata, Actinopteri, Cichliformes, Cichlidae.